CCUACGGGGUGCAGCAGUGAGGAAUAUUGGUCAAUGGCCGGAAGGCUGAACCAGCCAUGCCGCGUGAAGGUCAGUGCCCUAUGGGCGUUAAACUUCUUUUGUGCGGGAGCAAUAAUGGUCACGUGUGGCCAGACGAGAGUACCGUACGAAUAAGCAUCGGCGAACCGCGUGCCAGCAGCCGCGGUAAUGCGGGGGAUGCAAGAGGUAUUCGGGUUUAUUGGGUUUAAAGGGUGCAUAGGCUGGGAGGUGAGUCAGCGGGGAAAUGCCUCCGCUCAACGGGGUGACGUGCCAUUGAUACUGCUGUGCUGGAGUGCGGAUGCCGUGGGAGGAAUGUGUGGUGUAGCGGUGAAAUGCAUAGAUAUCACACAGAACACCGAUUGCGAAGGCAUCUCACGAAUCCACGAUUGACGCUGAUGCACGAAAGCGUGGGUAUCAAACAGGAUUAGAUACCCCGGUAGUC
RNAcentral lists this ribosomal RNA (460 nucleotides) under uncultured bacterium. Its description in RNAcentral is "partial 16S ribosomal RNA". It matches the Rfam family "Bacterial small subunit ribosomal RNA", at positions 338 to 795 of the family's 1533-position model. The record is from RNAcentral.